AGCUGGAGUUCCGGGUGGGCGUGGGCUUGGCGGGCCCUGCACUCGGAGCAGCUGGCCAGCCCUGCCAGUCCUGGGCAAUGAGGGGCUUAGCACCCGGGCCAAAGGCUGCGGAGGGUGUACUCGGUCCCCCAGCAGUGCCAGCCCGCUGGCACUGCGCUCGAUUUCUCGCCGGGCCUUAGCUGCCUCCCCGCGGGGCAGGGCUCGGGACCUGCAGCCUGCCAUGCCUGAGCCUCCCCGCGCUCUGUGGGCUCCUGUGCGGCCCGAGCCUCCCCGACGAGCACCGCCCCCUGCUCCACGGCGCCCAGUCCCAUCGACCACCCAAAGGCUGAGGAGUGCGGGCGCGCGGCACGGGACUGGCAGGCAGCUCCACCUGUAGCCCAGGUGCGGGAUCCACUGGAGACUGAGACACUGGAUUGGUGCCUGAAACUGGUACACACAGUGGGAGGAACGGAUGAGAGCAAGCAUGGACAACCACAUCCCUUGCCAAGCAAGCAUCAGAGCUAGAAUGGCUGGGCUAGUCCAAGGUGUGGUCAACCGCAGCAGAACUAGUUGAAAUGCAGGUGACUUGGAAGAAGAGAGAGAUGGAAAUCAUUAGCUACCACUCACCCUCAGUUGCCACCAUGAAGUCUUCCAGCCCAAUGCUGAUUUUACAGACAAAAUACUUAGCCUCCCUCCCUCCUUCUUACCCACCAACCAACCAAUGUGAGAAAAUCAAGAAAUAGAUGUUUUUGGAGUCCUGAGAGAAGAGAGAGGAAAUUCCUGCUUUAUAACAGUACCCCAGUAAAGAAACAAAACCGAGAAAGAAAGAAUUUACGAUAUGUCUAGACAGAGAUGCAGCCUUUCAAAUGAUCUCCCAGCCUGAAACGUGGCAACAAAGCAUCAGAGAGCUGCCAGGACUGAAGGAGCCAUGUUUCUGGGGACAUAGGAUGUCAUCGAUAAGCAAUGACAAGAUCACUGCUGCCACACACACAUGCACACCCAGGUAAGAUCCUGGGACUCUGGCAUAAGCUGGAGAGUUGGAGGAAACACCAGGAAGGAUAGAGUCUACCUAACUUCCAGCUUCAUUCCACUGCAACAGCAAAGAUGCAUAAAAUCCAAAAUAUAAUUGAGUUGUUUCAUAAAAAAUUAAGUUAUGUUUGUAAUCAUGCUCAAAUUCCACUUAAAAUGGGGAAUUUUGUUGCCUGAUAUAAAUAAUUUUGUUGCAACAUAACAUUAUGUAAGGAAAAUAAAAUGUAGCUCCUAAUCAUUAUUCAGUGAGGUAAUGGUAACUAUUAAAAGACAAAGACACCUCGUAAUUUGAAUUGCUUCCAGCUGAGCAGUCAUCAUCUGGACAUAUGCUAUCAAAUGAUACUCCUCCCACUGAGCCAUUAUGCAUUUAAUGCCUUUAUUUAUCUGCCAAAUUUCAAGACUGAAACAAAGGUUUUAAAAUUUAAAAAUGUGCUAUUAAACCAAAUGUAAGAUAAGCUAUCCUGCCUAAUCCAAUAAAAUACAGUAUUUCAUUAUGAUUAGUAUUAAUUUUCUGUAAUUUUGUAAAUUCCCAGGCAAAUAUAAUCUUCUAAGAUAGAAAAAAAGUCUUCAUACUGUAAGAAAUUGUGCAAUAAAAUUAUUAGCAAAUAAUUCCAUUUAUUGCUGAAAGGUAUAGGCUUUGGAGUUAGAUGGACCUGGAUUUACAUCCUGGUCCUAACACAUUUUUUUAUGACCCUGGGACAUGUAUUGGAUCUCAUUAGGCCUCAGUUACUCAUAUAUUAAAUGGUAAUGGAUAUAAUUUAUAAAGUUUAGAGGAAAUAAUAAAAUUGAGUACUCAUCAUAGUGCAUGAAAUAGAGUAAGCACGAAAAGAAGUGAUUAGUUAUGAAUAUUAUAAUGUACAGUGUGAAAAUAUGUAAUUCAAAAUCUAAGCAGUUGGAAUUUUUAAAUAUUUUGAGACUUAAGAGAGUGUGAUUAUGGGACCUGAAUCAUGUAAACUGGGAGCUGUAACCUUUUCUUCUCUGAUUAUAGAUUAGCCUUUUUCCUUACCUACAUUGUUUUCUAAAAUGGUGUAAAGGACUAACAGGCACCAGGGAGGACCCCUUCCCUCUUAAUUGUUGAUCUUCACUAUAGAUGAACUUCCUUCUUUCCUAUCCCAUACAAACACUGCGUGAUUAUCACAUUGCCUAAGAUGGAAUGUUAAAUACAGAAUUUUAAACUGGAAAAAAAGAAGGAAAGCUAUAAUUAAAUUGUUGUGUAAUUAAACCAGCCUUGUAUAGAAAAUGUUAUAAUCUUACUAAAUUUCUUUGUUUUCUGCCUAUAUAAGCAAGAUCUUAACUAACUUUAACUUUUGAGCAUUGACCCCAUUCCUUUGAAGUCUCUGUUACUUGAAUGGCCAUUUUUAGGUUUUUACUUAAAUAAAUUCUUUUGAACCAAA
This 2402-nucleotide long non-coding RNA is filed under the name Homo sapiens (human). RNAcentral's name for it is "HSALNT0112594". Lineage: Eukaryota; Metazoa; Chordata; Mammalia; Primates; Hominidae. The record is from RNAcentral.